AGAACGAACGCUGGCGGCGUGGAUAAGACAUGCAAGUCGAACGCGACUUAUUUUGUUAGCAAUAACAGAGUAAGUUGAGUGGCGAAAGGGUGCGUAACACGUGGGAAUUUACCAAAAAGUGGGGAAUAGCUCGGCGAAAGCCGAAUUAAUACCGCAUGUGAUCGAAAGAUCAAAGUCGGGGACCGCAAGGCCUGACGCUUUUUGAGAAGCCCGCGGCCCAUCAGCUAGUUGGCGGGGUAAAAGCCCACCAAGGCUAUGACGGGUAGCUGGUCUGAGAGGACGACCAGCCACACUGGAACUGAGACACGGUCCAGACACCUACGGGUGGCAGCAGUCGAGAAUUUUUCACAAUGGACGAAA
This 360-nucleotide ribosomal RNA is filed under the name uncultured bacterium. Its description in RNAcentral is "SSU rRNA". It matches the Rfam family "Bacterial small subunit ribosomal RNA", at positions 26 to 380 of the family's 1533-position model. The record is from RNAcentral.